This is an RNA transcript of Populus trichocarpa (black cottonwood), 1168 nucleotides long. RefSeq lists it as uncharacterized. NCBI's taxonomy places the organism in Eukaryota, Viridiplantae, Streptophyta, Magnoliopsida, Malpighiales, Salicaceae. The record is from RefSeq and is a predicted model, not a curated record. The transcript has 4 exons.
CUGUUCAUCAUACCUAAUUAGCCCAGCUUGCUUGUUUGGGCAGAAACCCAGUCUCUCUCAAGCCUUUAUGUAACAAGAAGCUGCAAGGAACGAAACCCCUGAACCCUCUACAACUACAACCCAGUAGGACACCCACCCUCUUUAUUACUCCAUCGCAGCUUUUCAUUUUCUUUUAAAGUCAGGACAGCAAAUUUAUUCGUUUGGUGCUCUUUCUGUGCUUGAUUCACGGUUUAUUUGGGGGGAAAUGCCGUUGGGAUUGAUAACCGGGAUAGGGAGGGCGAUGAGGAGGAAGCGGACGUCGUCGCUGGACAUUCUUUCGUCAAAACGUGCUCCCCGUAAUUACUACAAGGGAAAGAAUUGCAAGCCCACGGGUUUUCACACUCGUAAAGGUGGGUAUGUUGUUGUACCGGAGAAACUGCCCAACUAUGUAGUCCCUGAUUUGACAGACUUCAUGCUCAAACCAUUUGUGUCUCAAUGUCAGACGGAUGUUAAAACAACUGAAGCAUCUGAAUCUGCUAAGUAGAGCAAGAAUGAAUAGUUGAUCUCUUACAGUAUUGUUUGCUGCCCAUUUGUUGAUCUCAACUCAAGCUGGACGUAAUGUUAUGGUGCCAUUGUGGAGUACGUGAAAGGGGUGGACUAGCUGGGAGUCUCGAAUUGAAUUUCUUCAGGUUUUUGGUGGGUGUCGGCUUCCUAAUUUGUCUGGCAUGUUAAUCAACCACGGUUAAUCGAUUCGAAUCUUUAUCCUAUCCUCUUUCGGUCACUAAACUAAAGGAUACAGGUAUUGAGUGAUGGGAAACAAGUUCAUCACUUGCAGACCAAGAACCAAAUUCAUUUCCUUUACAACCGUUUCAAGUGAUCAUCGAAAACAAGCAGCGUAAGUGGUGUUUGGUUACGGAAAGAGACCGUAGCUCUUAAGCUAGAGACAAGUACACCUAAUAAAGCAGGAGUGGCUGGGUUGCCAUUUGCCAAGAUCAGAAACUCUUAGUAAGAUAACUAAGGCCCGUAAGCAUAAAGCCUGUAUUACAGAUGGGGUAUGGACCAUUAUGGCUGUAAGUACAGUGGCUCCACGGCCAAGUUUCUGCGUGCGAAUAAUUUCUUGUUUUGCUUGUUUGUUGAAAAUUGUUAUUUUUUAAAAAAAAUAUUUUUUCUGAAUUUCUUAUUAUAAAAA